UUUCUCAGACAGCCGUCCUCCCAGGGCCGGCCCGGGCUUCAGAGGCGCCCUAGGCGAGGCCGAGACGAGCGCCCCUUGGGAGCGCGUUUUCGAGCGGUCCCCGACAUUUCUUCGGGGGGGGGGGGGGGGUUGAGGAGCGAUGCCGAAC
Long non-coding RNA from Salarias fasciatus (jewelled blenny), 148 nucleotides. RefSeq lists it as uncharacterized. The transcript is spliced from 3 exons. NCBI's taxonomy places the organism in Eukaryota, Metazoa, Chordata, Actinopteri, Blenniiformes, Blenniidae. The record is from RefSeq and is a predicted model, not a curated record.